GUGUCAGCCGCCGCGGUAAUACGAAGGGGGCUAGCGUUGUUCGGAAUUACUGGGCGUAAAGCGCACGUAGGCGGACUGAUAAGUCAGGGGUGAAAUCCCGGGGCUCAACCCCGGAACUGCCUUUGAUACUGUCAGUCUAGAGUUCGAGAGAGGUGAGUGGAAUUCCGAGUGUAGAGGUGAAAUUCGUAGAUAUUCGGAGGAACACCAGUGGCGAAGGCGGCUCACUGGCUCGAUACUGACGCUGAGGUGCGAAAGCGUGGGGAGCAAACAGGAUUAGAAACCCCAGUAGUCC
Molecule: ribosomal RNA, 292 nt
Filed under: uncultured bacterium
Lineage: Bacteria
Description: partial 16S ribosomal RNA
Rfam family: Bacterial small subunit ribosomal RNA
Source: RNAcentral